Molecule: ribosomal RNA, 460 nt
Filed under: uncultured bacterium
Lineage: Bacteria
Description: partial 16S ribosomal RNA
Rfam family: Bacterial small subunit ribosomal RNA
Source: RNAcentral
CCUACGGGGGGCAGCAGUGAGGAAUAUUGGUCAAUGGACGAGAGUCUGAACCAGCCAAGUAGCGUGAAGGAUGACUGCCCUAUGGGUUGUAAACUUCUUUUAUAUGGGACUAAAACGUUCCACGUGUGGGAUUUUGUAUGUACCUUAUGAAUAAGGAUCGGCUAACUCCGUGCCAGCAGCCGCGGUAAUACGGAGGAUCCGAGCGUUAUCCGGAUUUAUUGGGUUGAAAGGGAGCGUAGAUGGAUUGUUAAGUCAGUUGUGAAAGUUUGCGGCUCAACCGUAAAAUUGCAGUUGAUACUGGCAGUCUUGAGUACAGUAGAGGUAGGCGGAAUUCGUGGUGUAGCGGUGAAAUGCUUAGAUAUCACGAAGAACUCCGAUUGCGAAGGCAGUUCACUGGACUGCAACUGACACUGAGGCUCGAAAGUGUGGGUAUCAAACAGGAUUAGAUACCCCAGUAGUC